Molecule: ribosomal RNA, 207 nt
Filed under: uncultured bacterium
Lineage: Bacteria
Description: partial 16S ribosomal RNA
Rfam family: Bacterial small subunit ribosomal RNA
Source: RNAcentral
CUCGUAGGCGGUCUGUUGCGUCGGGAGCGAAAACACCGGGCUUAACUCGGUGCUUGCUUUCGAUACGGGCAGACUGGAGGCAUGCAGGGGAGAAUGGAAUUCCUGGUGUAGCGGUGAAAUGCGCAGAUAUCAGGAGGAACACCGGUGGCGAAGGCGGUUCUCUGGGCAUGUUCUGACGCUGAGGAGCGAAAGUGUGGGGAGCGAACA